Molecule: ribosomal RNA, 319 nt
Filed under: uncultured eukaryote
Lineage: Eukaryota
Description: partial 18S ribosomal RNA
Rfam family: Eukaryotic small subunit ribosomal RNA
Source: RNAcentral
CCCUUAGAUGUUCUGGGCCGCACGCGCGCUACACUGAUGCAUUCAACGAGCACUCGCUUGGCCGAGAGGUCAGGCUAAUCUUUGAACGUGCAUCGUGCUGGGGAUAGAUGAUUGCAAUUAUUCAUCUUCAACGAGGAAUUCCUAGUAAACGCAAGUCAUCAGCUUGCAUUGAUUACGUCCCUGCCCUUUGUACACACCGCCCGUCGCACCUACCGAUUGAAUGGUCCGGUGAAAUCUCGGGACGGCGGCUUGGUCGCUUGCGUCCGACUGCUGAAACUUGAUUAAACCAUAUCAUUUAGAGGAAGGUGAAGUCGUAACA